Molecule: ribosomal RNA, 962 nt
Filed under: Funneliformis mosseae
Lineage: Eukaryota; Fungi; Glomeromycota; Glomeromycetes; Glomerales; Glomeraceae
Description: eukaryotic LSU rRNA
Rfam family: Eukaryotic large subunit ribosomal RNA
Source: RNAcentral
GACCUCAAAUCAGGUAAGAAUACCCGCUGAACUUAAGCAUAUCAAUAAGCGGAGGAAAAGAAAAUAACAAUGAUUCCCUCAGUAACGGCGAGCGAAGAGGGAUAAGCUCAAAUUUUAAAUCUGUUGGGUUCCACUUAACAGAGUUGUAUUUUGAAGAAACGUUUUCUGCAUCCAGGAUUAGCCUAAAUCCUUUGGGAUAAGGUAUCAUGGAGGGUGAGAAUCCCGUUCAUGGUUAAUCUUAAGGAAGCUCUACGAUACGUUUUCCAAGAGUCGAGUUGUUUGGGAUUGCAGCUCAAAAUGGGAGGUAAAUUUCUCCUAAGGCUAAAUAUUGGCGAGAGACCGAUAGCGAACAAGUACCGUGAGGGAAAGAUGAAAAGAACUUUGAAAAGAGAGUUAAACAGUACGUGAAAUUGUUGAAAGGGAAACGAUUGAAGUCAGUCAUACCAACGGGAAAUCAACCUUUUGAGCUCGGUCUCGUGGGUUUUGAAGAGUUUCAAAGCCUUCGGAUUCGCGGGAUUGGGAUCUCUUGGUGUACUUUUUCGUACGGUUAGUCAACAUCGGUUUUGAAUGUCAUAAAAUGACUGGAGGAAUGUAGCUUCGAUCUCGUAUUGAAGUGUUAUAGCCUUUGGUAGAUGUGAUGUUUGAGACCGAGGAUUGCAACGGAUACCCUUUAGGGCUAUUCGUCUGAUCUCUGAUACGUUGCCUUGAUGUUGAAAGCUUGCUUAUGAUGUUAGGGUAUUACGGUCAAAAGGUUAGAACGGAUUAGAUUCGUUAAGGAUGUUGACGUAAUGACUUUAAACGACCCGUCUUGAAACACGGACCAAGGAGUCUAACAUAUAUGCGAGUGUUUGGGUGAUUAAACCCUUGCGCGUAAUGAAAGUAAUUUUGGUGAGAUCCGGGAAAAAUUUUUCGGAGCAUCAUCGACCGAUCAGGAUAUUUUUUGAUAGAUUUGAGUAAGAGCA